CCCCAGGCGGUCGAUUUAUCACGUUAGCUGCGGGCGCCAAAUUUAAAGGUCCCCCCCCAAAUCGACAUCGUUUUUGCGUGGACUACUAGGGUAUCUAAUCCUGUGUGCUCCCCACGCUUUUUACAUGAGCGUGUCUACAUUCCCAAGGGGCUGCCUUCGCCUUCGGGAUUCCUCUUCUCUCUACGCAUUUCACCGCUACACGUGGAAUUCUACCCCUCCCUCUGUACUCUAGCGACCCAGUAUGAAAUGCAAUUCCCAGGUUAAGCCCGGGGCUUUCACACCUCACUUAAUUCACAGCCUGCGUGCCCUUUACGCCCAGUUAUUCCGAUUAACGCUCGCAGCCUCCGUAUUACCGCGGCUGCUGGCACGGAGUUAGCCGGUGCUUCUUCUGUAGUUAACGUCAAUCAUCUAGUCUAUUAAUCUAUUUGCGUUCCUCGCUACCGAAUGAACUUUACAACCCGAAGGCCUUCUCAUUCACGCGGCAUGGCUGCGUCAGGGUUGCUCCCCAUUGCGCAAUA
Molecule: ribosomal RNA, 518 nt
Filed under: uncultured Haemophilus sp.
Lineage: Bacteria; Pseudomonadati; Pseudomonadota; Gammaproteobacteria; Pasteurellales; Pasteurellaceae
Description: partial 16S ribosomal RNA
Source: RNAcentral